AGCUCUGUUUUAGUAGCCUGGUCCCAGAUCUGUUUUAGUAGCCUGGUCCCAGAUCUGUUUUAGUAGCCUGGUCCCAGAUCUGUUUUAGUAGCCUGGUCCCAGAUCUGUUUCUGCUCUUGCUAACUCCAUUGUUCAUUGUCAAGCCAAACAUGACAUGACAAUUCCAUAAAGAGUUGGCAGGAGAGUAGAACCACCCUGACACCAGGCUAGAAGACCAGGUCUGUAUUGGUCAGACUAGAACCACCCUGACACCAGGCUAGAAGACCAGGUCUGUAUUGGUCAGACUAGAACCACCCUGACACCAGACUAGAACCACCCUGACACCAGGCUAGAAGACCAGGUCUGUUUUGGUCAGGCUAGAACCACCCUGACACCAGGCUAGAAGACCAGGUCUGUUUUGGUCAGGCUAGAACCACCCUGACACCAGGCUAGAAGACCAGGUCUGUUUUGGUCAGACUAGAACCACCCUGACACCAGACUAGAACCACCCUGACACCAGACUAGAACCACCCUGACACCAGACUAGAACCACCCUGACACCAGACUAGAACCACCCUGACACCAGACUAGAACCACCCUGACACCAGACUAGAACCACCCUGACACCAGGCUAGAACCACCCUGACACCAGGUCUGUAUUGGUCAGACUAGAACCACCCUGACACCAGGCUAGAACCACCCUGACACCAGGUCUGUAUUGGUCAGACUAGAUCCACCCUGACACCAGGCUAGAACCACCCUGACACCAGGUCUGUAUUGGUCAGACUAGAACCACCCUGA
Molecule: long non-coding RNA, 780 nt
Organism: Oncorhynchus gorbuscha (pink salmon)
Lineage: Eukaryota; Metazoa; Chordata; Actinopteri; Salmoniformes; Salmonidae
Exons: 3
Source: RefSeq, a predicted model, not a curated record